RNAcentral lists this ribosomal RNA (468 nucleotides) under uncultured bacterium. Its description in RNAcentral is "partial 16S ribosomal RNA". It matches the Rfam family "Bacterial small subunit ribosomal RNA", at positions 29 to 507 of the family's 1533-position model. The record is from RNAcentral.
UACUAACUCUGGCGGCGUGCUUAACACAUGCAAGUCGAACGGAAAGGCCCUGCUUUUGUGGGGUGCUCGAGUGGCGAACGGGUGAGUAACACGUGAGUAACCUGCCCUUGACUUUGGGAUAACUUCAGGAAACUGGGGCUAAUACCGGAUAGGAGCUCCUGCUGCAUGGUGGGGGUUGGAAAGUUUCGGCGGUUGGGGAUGGACUCGCGGCUUAUCAGCUUGUUGGUGGGGUAGUGGCUUACCAAGGCUUUGACGGGUAGCCGGCCUGAGAGGGUGACCGGCCACAUUGGGACUGAGAGACGGCCCAGACUCCUACGGGAGGCAGCAGUGGGGAAUAUUGCACAAUGGGCGGAAGCCUGAGGCAGCAACGCCGCGUGCGGGAUGACGGCCUUCGGGUUGUAAACCGCUUUCGCCUGUGACGAAGCGUGAGUGACGGUAAUGGGUAAAGAAGCACCGGCUAACUACGUG